GACGAACGCUGGCGGCGUGCUUAACACAUGCCAGUCGAACGGAAAGGCCCUGCUUUUGUGGGGUGCUCGAGUGGCGAACGGGUGAGUAACACGUGAGUAACCUGCCCUUGACUUUGGGAUAACUUCAGGAAACUGGGGCUAAUACCGGAUAGGAGCUCCUGCUGCAUGGUGGGGGUUGGAAAGUUUCGGCGGUUGGGGAUGGACUCGCGGCUUAUCAGCUUGUUGGUGGGGUAGUGGCUUACCAAGGCUUUGACGGGUAGCCGGCCUGAGAGGGUGACCGGCCACAUUGGGCCUGAGAUACGGCCCAGACUCCUACGGGAGGCAGCAGUGGGGAAUAUUGCACAAUGGGCGGAAGCCUGAUGCAGCAACGCCGCGUGCGGGAUGACGGCCUUCGGGUUGUAAACCGCUUUCGCCUGUGACGAAGCGUGAGUGACGGUAAUGGGUAAAGAAGCACCGGCUAACUACGUG
Molecule: ribosomal RNA, 468 nt
Filed under: uncultured bacterium
Lineage: Bacteria
Description: partial 16S ribosomal RNA
Rfam family: Bacterial small subunit ribosomal RNA
Source: RNAcentral